GGAGAAAAGUUUGAAGCUGUUGUACCUUUCAUGGGUGAAUCUGUAACUGAUGGAACUCUUGCUACCUUCUUAAAGAAACCCGGUGACAGAGUUGAGGCUGAUGAGGCCAUAGCUCAGAUUGAAACUGAUAAGGUCACCAUUGAUGUUUCUAGUCCUGAAGCUGGUGUUCUUGAAAAGUAUAUUGCUAGCGAAGGGGAUACUGUUACUCCAGGCACCAUAGUUGCUAUUGUAUCAAAGUCUGAAGCGA
Long non-coding RNA from Lolium rigidum, 247 nucleotides. RefSeq lists it as uncharacterized. Lineage: Eukaryota; Viridiplantae; Streptophyta; Magnoliopsida; Poales; Poaceae. The transcript is spliced from 4 exons. The record is from RefSeq and is a predicted model, not a curated record.